Molecule: transfer RNA, 564 nt
Filed under: Nostoc sp. 35CT-3.2
Lineage: Bacteria; Bacillati; Cyanobacteriota; Cyanophyceae; Nostocales; Nostocaceae
Description: partial contains 16S ribosomal RNA, 16S-23S ribosomal RNA intergenic spacer, and 23S ribosomal RNA
Source: RNAcentral
AGGGAGACCUACACCCCUUACAUAUCGAAAAGCAUACAGCUAUAUAGAUAGUAAGUUGGUCAUUCCUUAGGUCGGUCGCAAAGACUUGCAAUAUGUAAAAAGCUUUCAAACUAUGAUUUGGUUAGAAAUGGGCUAUUAGCUCAGGUGGUUAGAGCGCACCCCUGAUAAGGGUGAGGUCCCUGGUUCGAGUCCAGGAUGGCCCACCUGAAUCAAUUAAAAAUGUAGAAUUAGAAAUUACAAGUUUUUUUAAUUUUUAAUUAUCAAUUUUUAAUUGUAUCGGGGGGUUUAGCUCAGUUGGUAGAGCGCCUGCUUUGCAAGCAGGAUGUCAGCGGUUCGAGUCCGMUAACCUCCACCUGUGGUAAUUKCCAUAGAAAAAACAAAAAAUAUUGAGAGUUCAGCAACGUGACAUUGAUUGUCAGACUGCUGAGAUUAUUCUCAGCCAGAACCUUGAAAACUGCAUAGUAACGCGAAAUUAGCAGGCAGACACAGACAUUCUUUAUGGAUGUUGUAGUGAAUGCAAAAUUGUGAAAGACCAAAUGAAUUGAGUGUCAAGCGAUACGACCG